AUGCGGAUGAUCCCAGAGCUCCCCGCCCGCCGCACCCCGGGCCCGAGCGCCGGGACCGGGCCCGUCCUCGCUGCGGCCGCGGGAGCCCCGGAGGCGCCUUCGGGGCGGCCCCGCCCGGGAUCCCAAGGCGCGCCCGGAGGGAGGAGCGGCCGCAGCGCCAGGAGCGGCCCUGCCCCGGUAACGACCCCGCCGAGCCCCCGCCGGCCCCGGUUCGUCCCGCCGCCCUCAGGCCGAGCCCAGCCGCGGGGAGGCCGCACGCGGCCCCUCCAGCCCCAGCGGCAGCGCGGCCCCUCGCAGCUCCCCUACCUCUUGGGGGGCGGCCCCCCCGCGCCGGCCGCCCCGUUGGGCGCUGGCGGAGCCACCGCCGCUGCCGCCGCGGCCGCCGCCGGGGGCGGCUCCAUUUUCCCGGGGGCGCUUUGCGAGGCCGCGGCCGCCGCCAUUUCCCAGCGCGUCCUUUGUGUGGGGAGCGCGGGGCACGACGGGACGGCGCGCCGGCCGGGCCGCCAGGGGGCGCCGCGCUGCUCAUGCGCGCGAGGGGGAACGAGGGGCGGGCAGGGUGGCGGGAAAGGGCGCGUUGGGCGCUGCGCGUGCGCGGUGAGGCGGGAACGGCGGGAUUGCGCGUGCGCGGUAAAGCGGGAAUGGCGGGACUGCGCGUGCGCGGUAAAGUGGGACUGGCGGGACUGCGCGUGCGCGCUGGGCGGCGCCGUGAGGGAGCGGCGGGCGGGGCUGGCGUGUGGGGAUUUCGGCCUCCGCACGCCCGGAGCCAGGCGGGGCUGGCGUGUGGGGAUCCCGGCCUCCGCACGCCCGGAGCCAGGCGGGGCUGGCGUGUGGGGAUCUCGGCCUCCGCACGCCCGGAGCCAGGCGGGGCUGGCGUGUGGGGAUCUCGGCCUCCGCACGCCCGGAGCCAGGCGGGGCUGGCGUGUGGGGAUCCCGGCCACCGCACGCCCGGAGCCAGGCGGGGCUGGCGUGUGGGGAUCUCGGCCUCCGCACGCCCGGAGCCAGGCGGGGCUGGCGUGUGGGGAUCUCGGCCUCCGCACGCCCGGAGCCAGGCGGGGCUGGCGUGUGGGGAUCCCGGCCUCCGCACGCCCGGAGCCAGGCGGGGCUGGCGUGUGGGGCUCUCGGCCUCCGCACGCCCGGAGCCAGGCGGGGCUGGCGUGUGGGGCUCUCGGCCUCCGCACGCCCGGAGCCAGGCGGGGCUGGCGUGUGGGGAUCUCGGCCUCCGCACGCCCGGAGCCGCGCGGUGCGGGCGGGGCUGGCGGCACCGCUCCUGGCUGCCCGCGCUGGCACAGGGAACAGCGGCUGUGCGCACGGCAGGCGCGCUGUACGGAAUGGCGGCAAUGGCAAGGCGCCGUACAGCAUGGCUGCGAUGCCGGCUCAUGCGCAGUGGGGUGA
RNAcentral lists this long non-coding RNA (1392 nucleotides) under Corvus moneduloides (New Caledonian crow). RNAcentral describes it as "lncRNA (ENSCMUG00000018860.1)". The record is from RNAcentral. Lineage: Eukaryota; Metazoa; Chordata; Aves; Passeriformes; Corvidae.